UAGCAUCUUACCCAGCCAUGAUCUUAAUGUUUGAACAAAGAUUAAAAUUUUUUAACUAAAUAAUAUUUUCGUGAGAAGGGUUCAUAAUUGGGAGAUGCAAAUAUUAGAAUCAUUCUCUUGUCUGUUUAUCCCUUUUUUUCAGUUUGCAUAAUUAAUACCACUAGAUUUGAUAUCAAUUUAUGUAAUUAUUGUAUUGCUUGUUUUAUCGGUGAGCAUGUUAAUGGAGUUUUAUUUGUUUCUCUACAUUUAAGCUCUCUAUUUGGACUUCAAAGUCUAGAAGCAAGUGCAAAUAUCUGUGUUAUUUACUUUUGGAAAGUUUGAGCUGUGGAAACUGUAUGGUA
Molecule: unclassified non-coding RNA, 341 nt
Filed under: Hevea brasiliensis (rubber tree)
Lineage: Eukaryota; Viridiplantae; Streptophyta; Magnoliopsida; Malpighiales; Euphorbiaceae
Source: RNAcentral